This is a long non-coding RNA of Rosa chinensis, 1765 nucleotides long. RefSeq lists it as uncharacterized. Lineage: Eukaryota; Viridiplantae; Streptophyta; Magnoliopsida; Rosales; Rosaceae. The transcript has 7 exons. The record is from RefSeq and is a predicted model, not a curated record.
UUUUUCCCUCUUUUUCCCAAAGUCCCAAACAUCACCCCGCUUUCUCUCCCCCAAACUGGAAAUUUCUCAGCCCAGAAGCUCACCGUUCCCGCCGUUCUGAAGAAUUCAAUAACCGAAUCUUCUUCUCGCGGUCAGCUUACAGCUCGAACUGGAACCUUUGCAAAUUACAAUAGCGUCGUUUCUUCACUUCUCCUCCUCCUCUCCGUCUCCAAGCUCCAGCCUCCAAUUCUUCGGCGGCUCGCGGUUUGGACCUUGGUCAGUGUUCUAAAUUGCUGGGUUAUUCACUCCAGUCACUCUACCGAAAGAGUUCUUGGGUGGCUUGGGUUUGCUGAUUUUGUGCGUGUAUCUUGGGAGGUGGAUUGAGGAGGAUGCUUCCGUUCUUAUUUCUGGUGAUAUAAUCAGCAUUAAGCUUGGGGAUAUUAUUCCAGCAGAUGCUCGUCUCCUCGACGGUGAUCCACUGAAAAUUGGUCGGGUGAUUUAACAAUCACAUUUUCGCAAGAUUAUAUGAUUGAAUGGAGCUAUUUGGAUUUUAGUCUAAUUUUUUGCAUUUGGUCUUUGCAGUCUGCACUUACCCGUGACUCACUUCCUGUGACCAAAGGCCCUGGUUGCUUUUAGAACAAAUUGCUGGACAUUGUUAUGCAUUUCACUACUCAAUUUCACCUUCCUCUUUAUAUGCAGUGCAUUUUUUAGUCAUUAUUCUUCAUAUGAUAAGAUAAUGAAGUAUCAGACUUUGCUCUCUAUCUAAUUGUGACCCCUGGUCCUGCGUCUCAAUAGAAUAUGAUAGGGUCCAGUGUUAUAGUGCAAUUAGAGUUUUUCUUGUUUAUUUCUUUAGUUUCUGUUUUUGCAGUUUCCUGUCCUCUGUUUUCUUUUAAUUAAUUAGCAUAGAAAAUGAUCUCUAAAAUCCCUAAGAAUUUACAAGUAUCCAGUUUAGUGUGUUAGCUUAGUGUCUAUGAAAUUUCAUUGAAAUCGGAGUAGUUUAGGUUAGGUUUUCAUUUCUGUUUUGGUUUCUGGUCGGAGUUAGUUAAUCUGUUUUGUGUUCAUUAGUUUAGUUGUUUGAUUAAGUUUUAAAUGUACUUUUUGGAGUUUUCCAUGAAGCUUUAUAUAUGUGCUUUUCUGCUGAGUAUCUCAUGUCCAAAUGGUAAUGAUUAUCUGCAGAUUGGAGCAUUUUUUGUUUAUCGGCUUGAAUUCAGUGACCACCACAAAUUUCUGGCGAAGGAUAUUGAGAUGAUCAAAAGGAGGCUACGAGUACUGGAGGACAGGUUUAGUUCCAAGCCAGUUGUUAUAGUAACAGAAAAGGAUUAUGAUCGAGACCCCAAUAUUUUCAAGUACUUGGGUCCUUUUGAAGUUCUGGCACUCUGUUCUGAAUUGAAGAUCAUACCUAACAGAGGAUACACUGAAUAUAGCUUCAAAAAGUUGUUGACGGAGGUUUGCACAUGAAUUACAAGAUGUGAACUCAACUUAAGGGCGUCUGAGUCACAAGUACUGGCAAAACUAACAAGAAUGCAGGAAAACAUGAUUGGUCAUGUUCUCAUGGCAAAAAGAGCAAAGCAAAUGAAAGCAAGUGCAAAGCUCACAAAAUGAGAGUAAAAUGGUGCACUUGUGAUUGUUGUUUUAUUUCAAGUGUGGUUAUAAUAUUCAAUACCUGGAAAUGACAACAUAUUUAUUUUCAUUUUAGUGUUUGUAUUUGAAUAUGGUACGAUGACUCAAUGGAUAUGUUUAAUUAUAUUUUUUAUGAAUUAAUGUUGAUUUCCUAUUUGAUUUAAAA